UGAGCAUCCUCCUCCAGGCUCGUGAACUAGCGGGCGAACCGGAAACUGUAAAGCACAAACCGUUUGUCAGAGAAGAUGAGGAUACACUCAGGGGGUGAGGUUAGCUGAGGAGAGACAGUGGAGGAGAAAAGAUGUGAAACAAACUGGUGGGAAGACAGUCAUUUGGAGGACGGUAACUUUGAUCAACAAGGUGGUGAAAUGAGUUCUUCAGAAAAGCUGAAAGAGGCAGACACAGACAUUAGCAGACCUCAUCAGUGUCAGACGUGUGGGAAAUCUUACAGUCGGAUCUGUAGUCUCAAAAGACAUGAACUCACUCACACUGCAGAGAAACUGUACCACUGUGAACAAUGCAACAGCAGCUUCAGUGAGCUAAAGACAUACAAGCUCCACCUGCAGACCCACACUGAGGAAACACCAUACUGCUGCAGCCUGUGUGGGAGACAUUUCAGCGACCAGAGCUCAUACAGAAAACACUUGAGCAACCACACUGGACCAUACCAGUGUGACCGAUGUGAAAAGACCUUCAGUCAGUGGGGUAAUUUCACAGUACACCUGCGUGUCCACACUGGAGAGAAACCACACCACUGUGACUUAUGUGGGAAAAGCUUCCGUUGUUUAAGUACAUACAGGAACCAUGU
This is a long non-coding RNA of Epinephelus fuscoguttatus (brown-marbled grouper), 638 nucleotides long. RefSeq lists it as uncharacterized. The record is from RefSeq and is a predicted model, not a curated record. NCBI's taxonomy places the organism in Eukaryota, Metazoa, Chordata, Actinopteri, Perciformes, Serranidae. The transcript has 3 exons.